UACAGAGGGGGCAAGCGUUAUUCGGAAUUACUGGGCGUAAAGCGUGCGCAGGCGGUUUUGUAAGCCAGAUGUGAAAUCCCCGAGCUUAACUUGGGAACUGCAUUUGGGACUGCAAGGCUGGAGUACGGCAGAGGGAGGUGGAAUUCCACGUGUAGCAGUGAAAUGCGUAGAGAUGUGGAGGAACACCGAUGGCGAAGGCAGCCUCCUGGGCUAGUACUGACGCUCAUGCACGAAAGCGUGGGGAGCAAACAGG
RNAcentral lists this ribosomal RNA (253 nucleotides) under uncultured bacterium. RNAcentral describes it as "partial 16S ribosomal RNA". It matches the Rfam family "Bacterial small subunit ribosomal RNA", at positions 524 to 776 of the family's 1533-position model. The record is from RNAcentral.